GGGGGCGACUGGUUUCGACGGGGCAAGCCGAAACCGAGUGGCGCGCCGAGGAUGAUUGUGUUCCUCGUAAAACACCAAUCAAAAACCAAAUGCGAACAAUGACUUCGCUCUCGCGGCCUAGUUAAUGGCCCGACGCUGAACCGCCGAUGUCUGCUGAGCGGGGAGGCGACGACUAGCAGAUCCUGCUGCAGGGUUUGGUGACUGGACGCUGCAGCUUGUACAAUCAGGCACUGGCCAUUGGGUAAGCCUGUCCGUCGGCAUUCCCGGUGGCGAGAUUGAAGGACGGAACACGCGCGUAGAUAUUCGGCUGGAGCUGUUUCGGACGGGGGUUCGACUCCCCCCGCCUCCACCA
Molecule: transfer-messenger RNA, 352 nt
Filed under: Kiritimatiellia bacterium
Lineage: Bacteria; Pseudomonadati; Kiritimatiellota; Kiritimatiellia
Description: Kiritimatiellae bacterium (gut metagenome) transfer-messenger RNA
Rfam family: transfer-messenger RNA
About the family: Bacterial tmRNA, also known as 10Sa RNA or SsrA, is named for its dual tRNA and mRNA-like properties. Its role is to liberate the mRNA from a stalled ribosome.
Source: RNAcentral